UCAAUUCAGAGCUCGCUUUUCUUGCCACGAAGACUAGUUGCCACAGAAUAUGCACUCACUUUUCUUCUCGACGCAAGUGGCUGAGGGCUGCGAGAUGCAAUCAUUGUUGCUUUUGGAAUGCGUCACUUUGGUUUUCCUUUUCUUGACAAGCAAAAAUGUGUUUCCAGCUGGCAGCCUGGCUUCUCCGGUCUAUCACAAUGGAAGAAGCUUUGAUCUGGGAGGAACUCUGCCAGGGAUUCUUCCAAGAAGGCGGCAAACACAGAUUGAACGUUGGCUGAACAUCGCUUUAAGGAGGGCAAAUAGGUUUCUUACAAGAAUAGGCUUCUCUCCUUUGCGGAUUGAGGACGGAAGUGCAUACACGAACAUGCGACUUACCUGGGGAGCAAAUGGCUUUCGCAGUGUGUCGGAGUAACGUACUCUGGCAUUGGUAAACACGUAAUAAAUACAUGACACAACCUCG
This is a non-coding RNA of Dermacentor andersoni, 460 nucleotides long. The record is from RefSeq and is a predicted model, not a curated record. Lineage: Eukaryota; Metazoa; Arthropoda; Arachnida; Ixodida; Ixodidae.